CCCUUAGAUGUCCUGGGCCGCACGCGCGUUACACUGAUGCAUUCAACGAGCUUAUAACCUUGGCCGAGAGGCCUGGGCAAUCUUGUUAACGUGCAUCGUGAUAGGGAUAGAUUAUUGAAAUUAUUAAUCUUGAACGAGGAAUUCCUAGUAAACGCAGAUCAUCAAUCUGCAUUGAUUACGUCCCUGCCCUUUGUACACACCGCCCGUCGCUCCUACCGAUUGAGUGAUCCGGUGAGGCUCUGGGACCUGGACGGAAAGAGCGUUUCGCUUGUUCUGUUUGGGAAACUUGGUCGAACCUUAUCAUUUAGAGGAAGGAGAAGUCGUAACA
This 328-nucleotide ribosomal RNA is filed under the name uncultured eukaryote. RNAcentral describes it as "partial 18S ribosomal RNA". It matches the Rfam family "Eukaryotic small subunit ribosomal RNA", at positions 1470 to 1796 of the family's 1831-position model. The record is from RNAcentral.